UGGGGAAUAUUGCACAAUGGAGGGAACUCUGAUGCAGCAACGCCGCGUGCGGGAUGACGGCCUUCGGGUUGUAAACCGCUUUCAGCCAUGACGAAGCUUUUGUGACGGCAGUGGUAGAAGAAGCACCGGCUAACUACGUGCCAGCAGCCGCGGUGAUACGUAGGGUGCGAGCGUUGUCCGGAAUUAUUGGGCGUAAAGAGCUUGUAGGCGGUUUGUCGCGUCGAUAGUGUAAACACGCAGCUUAACUGUGUGCCUGCUGUCGAUACGGGCUGACUAGAGGAGGGUAGGGGAGAAUGGAAUUCCCGGUGGAGCGGGGGAAUGCGCAGAUAUCGGGAGGAACACCAGUGGCGAAGGCGGUUCUCUGGACCUUUCCUGACGCUGAGAAGCGAAAGCGUGGGUAGCAAACAGG
Molecule: ribosomal RNA, 409 nt
Filed under: Fusobacteriota bacterium
Lineage: Bacteria; Fusobacteriati; Fusobacteriota
Description: Fusobacteria bacterium partial 16S ribosomal RNA
Rfam family: Bacterial small subunit ribosomal RNA
Source: RNAcentral